This is a non-coding RNA of Nostoc calcicola FACHB-389, 77 nucleotides long. The record is from Rfam. NCBI's taxonomy places the organism in Bacteria, Bacillati, Cyanobacteriota, Cyanophyceae, Nostocales, Nostocaceae.
AGGAGCCGUGUGAGGGGAAACCUUCAAGCACGGUUUUGAAGACCAACGAGAUUGGUGACAAUCUCGUUGAGUUUAAU